Molecule: RNase P RNA, 452 nt
Filed under: Alicyclobacillus sp. RIFOXYA1_FULL_53_8
Lineage: Bacteria; Bacillati; Bacillota; Bacilli; Caryophanales; Alicyclobacillaceae
Description: RNase P RNA component class A
Rfam family: Bacterial RNase P class A
About the family: Ribonuclease P (RNase P) is a ubiquitous endoribonuclease, found in archaea, bacteria and eukarya as well as chloroplasts and mitochondria. Its best characterised activity is the generation of mature 5'-ends of tRNAs by cleaving the 5'-leader elements of precursor-tRNAs.
Source: RNAcentral
GAAGUAUGCCGGGCAAUCGCCGGUGCAGUGUCGAAAGACCGCACGGGAGGAAAGUCCGAGCUCCGCAGGGCAAGGUGCCGGAUAACGUCCGGCGGGAGCGAUCCUAGGGAUAGUGCCACAGAAAUGUAGACCGCCGAUGGAAGUGUGUCCUAACGGACACACUUCACAGGCAAGGAUGCAACGGUGCGGUAAGAGCGCACCAGCAGCCUGGAGACAGGCUGGCUAGGUAAACCCCACCCGGAGCAAGACCGUAUAGGAGUGCACAUGUGGUUGCCCGUCACGCACUCGGGUAGGUCGCUUGAGCUUACUGGCAACAGUCGGCCUAGAUAGAUGAUUGCCGCUCCAAGGUGCGAGGCAUGGAGCCCGAAGCGCGACCUUCUGGGUUCCGUUUACUGGUAGAUGCCGUUUGCAGCACAGGAGGACAGAACUCGGCUUACAGGCAUGCUUCCCCU